This 663-nucleotide non-coding RNA is filed under the name Beta vulgaris subsp. vulgaris (sugar beet). RNAcentral describes it as "Bacterial large subunit ribosomal RNA". It matches the Rfam family "Bacterial large subunit ribosomal RNA", at positions 311 to 978 of the family's 2925-position model. The record is from Rfam by way of RNAcentral. Lineage: Eukaryota; Viridiplantae; Streptophyta; Magnoliopsida; Caryophyllales; Amaranthaceae.
CAAGUAAUAGCACAAGACUUAACGGAACGCCUUGGAAAGGGCGGCCAUAGUGGGUGAUAGCCCCGUACGUGAAAAGACCUGUGUGGUACUGAGCUUGCGAAAAGUAGGGCGGGACACGUGAAAUCCUGUCUGAAGAUGGGGGGACCAUCCUCCAAGGCUAAAUACUCAUCAUCGACCGAUAGUGAACAAGUACCGUGAGGGAAAGGCGAAAAGAACCCCGGGAGGGGAGUGAAAUAGAUCCUGAAACCGCAUGCUUACAAAAAGUAGGAGCCCGCAAGGGUGACUGCGUACCUUUUGUAUAAUGGGUCAGCGACUUACAUUCAGUGGCGAGCUUAACCGAAUAGGGUAGGCGCAGGGAAACCGAGUCCGAAUAGGGCGAUUCAGUCGCUGGGUGUAGACCCGAAACCAAGUGAUCUAUCCAUGGCCAGGAUGAAGGUGCCGUAACAGGUACUGGAGGUCCGAACCGACUAGUGUUGCAAAACUAGCGGAUGAGCUGUGGAUAGGGGUGAAAGGCUAAACAAACUUGGAAAUAGCUGGUUCUCUCCGAAAACUAUUUAGGUAGUGCCUCAAGUAUUACCUGCGGGGGUAGAGCACUGUUUAGGCUAGGGGGUCAUGGCGACUUACCAAACCUUGGCAAACUCCGAAUACCGCAGAGUACAGCUU